UCUUGACUAGUAUAUCGGUUCAGUACACCCGCUUGUCAUGUGAUUCAAGCUCCAUACGUGCGCGGGAGAGCAGGGUUCGACUCCCUGGUCGAGAG
Non-coding RNA from Roridomyces roridus, 95 nucleotides. NCBI's taxonomy places the organism in Eukaryota, Fungi, Basidiomycota, Agaricomycetes, Agaricales, Mycenaceae. The record is from the annotation of a GenBank genome assembly.